AUGCUUCUCCAGGUUGCCAUCGUCCAGUCCGUCGGUCGGCCGGCGGCAGGAUGCUUCUUCGGGUCGUCGUUGUCCACCGUGUCGGUCGGUGGGCUGAUCCGUAGAGAGCGCCGCCAUCUUAGCAUGUGCAUGGAUACAACACACACUAACUCUACAAACAAGGACGUAGGAAAUUUGAAGCCGACAAAAGAACAUGUAUUCAGAGAAGUAUGCUCCUCCUCACUUUGUGGAGAUGCUGGUAGGAAUGAGGUGACUCACUACAAACCAUUGCCACCGGUGGAUGUGUCCCAAAGAUUCUUAACUAGCUACUUGGACACACUGAUGGGUGUUGCACAAAAUCCUCUGUAUGAUCCAAUAAAAGGCAAGGGUCCUGCAGUGAUUAAUUACGAUUCAGUUCAGCUUCAGACUAUGAAACAAACAGGAAGUGCGGGUGCUGGAAUGAUUCUUCGGGAUAGCACAGGCAGUAUUAUUUUCUCCUCCUGCAGAGAACUCUUCUCAUGCAGAGAUGCUAUGGAGGCUGAGCUGUGUGCUUGCAUGGAGGACAUUUCAUUAUCAAUUCAGCGGUCUGAUCUUCCUAUCAUGUUGGAGAUUGAUUCAAUUCAGGUGGACUGA
RNAcentral lists this ribosomal RNA (612 nucleotides) under Triticum aestivum (bread wheat). Its description in RNAcentral is "partial small subunit ribosomal RNA". Lineage: Eukaryota; Viridiplantae; Streptophyta; Magnoliopsida; Poales; Poaceae. The record is from RNAcentral.